UUUACGGAGAGUUUGAUCCUGGCUCAGGACGAACGCUGGCGGCGUGCUUAACACAUGCAAGUCGAACGAUGAUGCCCAGCUUGCUGGGUGGAUUAGUGGCGAACGGGUGAGUAACACGUGAGUAACCUGCCCCUGACUCUGGGAUAAGCGUUGGAAACGACGUCUAAUACUGGAUAUGAUCACUGGCCGCAUGGUCUGGUGGUGGAAAGAUUUUUUGGUUGGGGAUGGACUCGCGGCCUAUCAGCUUGUUGGUGAGGUAAUGGCUCACCAAGGCGACGACGGGUAGCCGGCCUGAGAGGGUGACCGGCCACACUGGGACUGAGACACGGCCCAGACUCCUACGGGAGGCAGCAGUGGGGAAUAUUGCACAAUGGGCGAAAGCCUGAUGCAGCAACGCCGCGUGAGGGAUGACGGCCUUCGGGUUGUAAACCUCUUUUAGUAGGGAAGAAGCGAAAGUGACGGUACCUGCAGAAAAAGCACCGGCUAACUACGUGCCAGCAGCCGCGGUAAUACGUAGGGUGCAAGCGUUGUCCGGAAUUAUUGGGCGUAAAGAGCUCGUAGGCGGUUUGUCGCGUCUGCUGUGAAAUCCCGAGGCUCAACCUCGGGCUUGCAGUGGGUACGGGCAGACUAGAGUGCGGUAGGGGAGAUUGGAAUUCCUGGUGUAGCGGUGGAAUGCGCAGAUAUCAGGAGGAACACCGAUGGCGAAGGCAGAUCUCUGGGCCGUAACUGACGCUGAGGAGCGAAAGCAUGGGGAGCGAACAGGAUUAGAUACCCUGGUAGUCCAUGCCGUAAACGUUGGGCGCUAGAUGUAGGGACCUUUCCACGGUUUCUGUGUCGUAGCUAACGCAUUAAGCGCCCCGCCUGGGGAGUACGGCCGCAAGGCUAAAACUCAAAGGAAUUGACGGGGGCCCGCACAAGCGGCGGAGCAUGCGGAUUAAUUCGAUGCAACGCGAAGAACCUUACCAAGGCUUGACAUACACCGGAAACGGCCAGAGAUGGUCGCCCCCUUGUGGUCGGUGUACAGGUGGUGCAUGGUUGUCGUCAGCUCGUGUCGUGAGAUGUUGGGUUAAGUCCCGCAACGAGCGCAACCCUCGUUCUAUGUUGCCAGCGGGUUAUGCCGGGGACUCAUAGGAGACUGCCGGGGUCAACUCGGAGGAAGGUGGGAUGACGUCAAAUCAUCAUGCCCCUUAUGUCUUGGGCUUCACGCAUGCUACAAUGGCCGGUACAAAGGGCUGCGAUACCGUAAGGUGGAGCGAAUCCCAAAAAGCCGGUCUCAGUUCGGAUUGAGGUCUGCAACUCGACCUCAUGAAGUCGGAGUCGCUAGUAAUCGCAGAUCAGCAACGCUGCGGUGAAUACGUUCCCGGGCCUUGUACACACCGCCCGUCAAGUCAUGAAAGUCGGUAACACCCGAAGCCGGUGGCCUAACCCUUGUGGAAGGAGCCGUCGAAGGUGGGAUCGGUGAUUAGGACUAAGUCGUAACAAGGUAGCCGUACCGGAAGGUGCGGCUGGAUCACCUCCUUU
This 1521-nucleotide ribosomal RNA is filed under the name Curtobacterium flaccumfaciens. Its description in RNAcentral is "bacterial SSU rRNA". It matches the Rfam family "Bacterial small subunit ribosomal RNA". The record is from RNAcentral. Lineage: Bacteria; Bacillati; Actinomycetota; Actinomycetes; Micrococcales; Microbacteriaceae.